This 249-nucleotide ribosomal RNA is filed under the name Scytonema sp. SB5. RNAcentral's name for it is "partial 16S ribosomal RNA". It matches the Rfam family "Bacterial small subunit ribosomal RNA", at positions 474 to 722 of the family's 1533-position model. Lineage: Bacteria; Bacillati; Cyanobacteriota; Cyanophyceae; Nostocales; Scytonemataceae. The record is from RNAcentral.
GGUACCUGAGGAAUCAGCAUCGGCUAACUCCGUGCCAGCAGCCGCGGUAAUACGGAGGAUGCAAGCGUUAUCCGGAAUGAUUGGGCGUAAAGCGUUCGCAGGUGGUCAAUCAAGUCUGCUGUUAAAGAGUGCAGCUCAACCGCAUAAGGGCAGUGGAAACUGAGUGACUGGAGUCAGGUAGGGGCAGAGGGAAUUCCCUGGUGUAGCGGUGAAAUGCGUAGAUAUCAGGAAGAACACCGCGGCGAAAGC